GAAAACUGACCCUCCGUGAAAGUAAUAAACUUGCUGCUCUGAACAUCAGAUCCAUAAGCAGGAGUAACAGGUAACCUGAAGUGUCACCUCCAAGAACGGGACCCAGCCCCACAAUGAGGAAGCAAUUUAACUCUGCCUUAGCCUUGAAAAUGUGACAAAACUGAGUUGGACAGCAGUCUUGAGACACAUGGGACAAAAGGCGAGAUUCGUUCUGUCCGGGGAAAAACAAGAUUUUCAGGACAAAUGAGAGAGUGACAGAUUCAUAAAGAGAGUGACAAAUUCAUCGAUGAAGACUGCGGAGAGGAGAGGUGAGGAAGCCACAGGCAGUCAGCAGAAAGCAGUGAGCUGCUCCCUCCACAGGCCCGGCAGCGGCAGCCCCGCGAUCUCCAGGGUGGACGUCGGUACUUCAUGGCAACCUGCACUGCCAGGUGCUCCUGCCCAACUGUCGGCUAACAUUUACCCAUUCCAAGCGCACUUAAGGUAGGUGAGGCUAUGUUACCAUGUUCAGUAGACUGAAGGGUAUUAAACGCAUUUCCGACUUAAAAGUAUCUUCAACUUAGGAUGGGUUUCUGGGAAGGCAGCCCUGUCGUAAAUUAGAGAGUAUCUGUCUGUAUCAAACGUGUGACCUUACGUGCACACUUCAUUCUCUCAUGCAAUGAAAUAGGCAGAAACAAGCAAACUAUUAUUACCAACAUACAAAUAGUGAGAUUUCAAUGACCAGAUACUCAAACGAGCCUGCAAAAAUCCUCACACCACGGCCUACAGGAUGAAGUCCAUAAAUGACUACACUGAUUAAAUAAGUCUUUGCAUUUCUUCAUUUAUAUUGGUCCUAUUUUGAGAAAUGUCUAGAAAGGUAGCAAAAUCACCUAGUAUAUAGGUUCGGGUAAAUAAUGAAGAGUACUCAGUACUAUCUUCUUAAGAAAAGAAAAAAAAUUCUGAAUUUACUAAUUUUUUUCCUCUUAAGAAAAGAAAUCUAGGGUGUUGGCUACGUUUGCUCAUGUUGAGAAUGCAAAAGGCCACUGUUUCUUAAGCGGCUCUUGCACAACAAAGAAAAACUACCUGCUCCCUGGCCCAGCUGCCUGCUUUGCUGGAGAAGGCAGGCGGGGUGGAGACUCCUCCAGGAGGUGUUUAAUAAUCUGCAAAGGUCCAGACAGCAACCCGGGGCAGACACAGCUCAAGCCAGCCAACCUGACCAUUGGAAAGAAAGGAGGAGAAUGCACACUUUCCUGGGUUCAGCUCUCUGGGGUCCCCAACACCUCCUCUUUGUGGCCAUCUUGUCCCCUGGCACCAAAGCUGAGCUCAGAGGAAAGCACCUGCCAUGAUCCACUCUGUCUCUGCCGCCUCCCUGCCCACUCCUGUGGGAAGCUCCCUCUCGGCAUCUGUCCGUCAUCAGCAUCUGUCCGUCAUCGGCAUCUGUCUGUCACGGGUCAUCUGCCGCACCACACUGAGAACCCAUGAGUGCCAAAUGUCCCCCGUCAGCUGGCCCACCCGCAUUUCAUCUUCCUGGCUUAAGAAGGUGAGUCUCAGGGCCCAGCCGUCUAUCAGAACUGACCUGGUCUUCUCCGACCCCUUUCCCUAUGAUUUUUUGGUGGCUUUUUUCUUUUAGGAUUUUCUAUAUCCCACGUUGGUCACUUACACUCUGUAUUUACUCUCUUAUAAAAAUAUGUUACUAUUGGUGAUAACCAUUGGGUUUCGCAAGAAAACCUGUAUCCUGGCACCCACUGCGGGGCUGGGAAUCUGCGCAGAUAGCUGCCUGGUCUUUGGUGACCAGAUUUUCCACGUUCCUCCUUGAGCGCUGCCAUGUGACAGCAGCCUCAGACAGCAACAACUGGUCCAGUGCCCAACUCGCACGACAUCCCCGUGGAAAGACGCAAACAUUUACUCAACAUGUUUCUUCUCUGUGGAGCAAGCUCUAAGCAUCCAAGCAAAGCUGAAGGGGGGCUCUCCCUACACUGCCCUAAACACCUGGUUAUUUGCCAGGUCCACACUUGGCAGUGCUAACUCAGCAUGACAACACGCUUACCAAGUUCCUUUUCAGAGUGGACUUUCACCUCCCCUUAUUCUGUGCAUUCAGCACAGCGUAUGGAGAAAAAGGCUAAGCUGGGAAUCAGGACGCCUGGAUUUGAGCUCUGCACCAUUCCUGUGGCCUUGGCUCAGUUAUUAAAUCUUUCUGCAUUUCAGUACCUGUAAAAUGUCAGGAUUCACUCAAAAAUCACCUCCAAGUUUCCUGCAGUUAUAACACAUAUAUGAUUGUCUAUAUUAACCUUCUAAAACAAGCCCAAAUACAAAUAAUGUAAGUUUACAAAGAAACAUAAACAAUCACGAAAGCAAAUGCUUUCCUUCACGGUCAUUACACCAAGUCAAUGUAACACUCCUAACGAUAUAACACCGUGCUCUAAAAUGGCGGCCGCCCUAACCCCGCUCGGGCCAAGAAGGUGCAGUUUCAUCACCUACCACCUUGUAGGAAUCUAAAUGGAGUUUUCGUGGGUCCAAAACAUGUAAAAUGCUUUCCAAAAUGGUCUACUAUUCCCCUGGACGGGAUUUAAGGAUUGCCUAAAACACACACUCUCGACGGCCCCCUUAAUGUUCACAGCUAAGCAAAAAACCUGGUUUGUAAAUCAUCUCCCACACACAUAUAAAAUCCCAAAUUCUAACUGUAAUAACUUUCUUUUUAAUCAAUACCUAUACUUUAAAAUAUGUAAAUAUUAGGAAAAUCAACCUUACUUUCUAAAGUUCAAAUUCUUAGCAGCCCAUAAUCUUUCAUCAACCUAGAAAAUAACUGAUAAGCCAAUCUUCCUGUGAAACCAUUAACAGAUUCUGCUUUUCUGUCACCAGGGUAAUUUACCGAGGCUAAUUUUAAUCCUACCACUAAACCACUAAUCGCAUGACUCUACAGAAUUGUCCCCAAGUUUACGUUGCUACGGCAAGCACUUUUACAUUAGGAAUUCACUUAUUUAUUAACACUUUUAUUUUUUAAGUUGGUUUUAGGAAUGAGAUCGUCUUGCUUGCCUCUCAUUUUAAAAAGUAAAAAGCCAUUUUUGAAAAAAGGAAGCUACUUGAGCACCUGGGGUUGCACUGCACUCAACACAAUAACGUUAAUUUAAAUUAUGCUUGGUGUUACUCAAAGGGACAAAUUAUCAUCAUUAUGCUAAUGGUCAUGCUAAAGACAUGAAAAGCUUUGAAAUGAUUAAUCUAAAUCUGGGGGGAAUAUGAUUAUCAAUGUGAAUGAUGGUAUUUUCUCAAACUGGCAUAAAAAUGUUCUGUCUGUGUCACUGAUAAUGUCAAUAUAAAUGAUGCAUCACCAAAGGCAACGUGCACUCACACGCUCUUCGCUCACGUUCUCGAAGCAAAGCCCCAGCCCACCUUUCAGUCCACAUAUGCCUUGCUUUGGGGACACACGUGUGGAUGAAUAGAAAUUUGUUUACUUCUUUCGUAAAACAGAGAAAACAGGAUGAUUAAAGCCAACAAGACUGAGACAACGAGAGAGAGGUGUCUGGAGACACAUUUGCUUUGGUGUCGACUCGACAGCC
This 3530-nucleotide long non-coding RNA is filed under the name Homo sapiens (human). Its description in RNAcentral is "HSALNT0253333". The record is from RNAcentral. Lineage: Eukaryota; Metazoa; Chordata; Mammalia; Primates; Hominidae.